RNAcentral lists this long non-coding RNA (332 nucleotides) under Hordeum vulgare. RNAcentral describes it as "long non-coding RNA (HVUL_LNC015656)". The record is from RNAcentral. Lineage: Eukaryota; Viridiplantae; Streptophyta; Magnoliopsida; Poales; Poaceae.
CUUUCAAGUAUAUCAGCUGGAUCAAGCAUCUUGUAGUCUGGUCUUUCUUGAAUCAUCAUGACUAAAGUAUCAAAUGAAGAAUCCAAAGAUCUUAGUAGUUUCUUCACAACUUCAUGAUCAGUAAUGUCUCGAGCUCCCAGUGCUAAUAGUUCAUUUGAUAUGUAAGUGAGGCGAUCAAAGGUAUCUUGGCAGCUUUCAUUGUCAAGCCUCUUGAAGCGAUUGAAGAGAUUGCGAAGAACAUGAACACGAGAAUCACACUGGGUUGAUACUCCUUCAUUUACUUUGCAUAGUCUCUCCCAGAUAAGUGUCGCUGAGCCCAAAGCACUCACUCU